UACGUAGGGUGCGAGCGUUGUCCGGAAUUACUGGGCGUAAAGAGCUCGUAGGUGGUUUGUCGCGUUGUCCGUGAAAACUCACAACUCAAUUGUGGGCGUGCGGGCGAUACGGGCAGACUGGAGUACUGCAGGGGAGACUUGAAUUCCUGGUGUAGCGGUGGAAUGCGCAGAUAUCAGGAGGAACACCGGUGGCGAAGGCGGGUCUCUGGGCAGUAACUGACGCUGAGGAGCGAAAGCGUGGGGAGCGAACAGG
This 253-nucleotide ribosomal RNA is filed under the name uncultured bacterium. Its description in RNAcentral is "partial 16S ribosomal RNA". It matches the Rfam family "Bacterial small subunit ribosomal RNA", at positions 524 to 776 of the family's 1533-position model. The record is from RNAcentral.